This is a non-coding RNA of Microdochium nivale, 107 nucleotides long. The record is from the annotation of a GenBank genome assembly. NCBI's taxonomy places the organism in Eukaryota, Fungi, Ascomycota, Sordariomycetes, Xylariales, Microdochiaceae.
UCCGAAUUGGUGUAGGGGUUAACAUUUGACGCUCUCAUCUCUACGCUUCCCAAACGAAGCGCCCGAAAUGUGCCGUCAAGCCCGGGGUUCGAUUCCCCGAUUCGGAG